RNAcentral lists this ribosomal RNA (1111 nucleotides) under Staphylococcus aureus. Its description in RNAcentral is "partial 23S ribosomal RNA". It matches the Rfam family "Bacterial large subunit ribosomal RNA", at positions 1286 to 2393 of the family's 2925-position model. The record is from RNAcentral. Lineage: Bacteria; Bacillati; Bacillota; Bacilli; Caryophanales; Staphylococcaceae.
AAGUGAGAAUGCCGGUGUGAGUAGCGAAAGACGGGUGAGAAUCCCGUCCACCGAUUGACUAAGGUUUCCAGAGGAAGGCUCGUCCGCUCUGGGUUAGUCGGGUCCUAAGCUGAGGCCGACAGGCGUAGGCGAUGGAUAACAGGUUGAUAUUCCUGUACCACCUAUAAUCGUUUUAAUCGAUGGGGGGACGCAGUAGGAUAGGCGAAGCGUGCGAUUGGAUUGCACGUCUAAGCAGUAAGGCUGAGUAUUAGGCAAAUCCGGUACUCGUUAAGGCUGAGCUGUGAUGGGGAGAAGACAUUGUGUCUUCGAGUCGUUGAUUUCACACUGCCGAGAAAAGCCUCUAGAUAGAAAAUAGGUGCCCGUACCGCAAACCGACACAGGUAGUCAAGAUGAGAAUUCUAAGGUGAGCGAGCGAACUCUCGUUAAGGAACUCGGCAAAAUGACCCCGUAACUUCGGGAGAAGGGGUGCUCUUUAGGGUUAACGCCCAGAAGAGCCGCAGUGAAUAGGCCCAAGCGACUGUUUAUCAAAAACACAGGUCUCUGCUAAACCGUAAGGUGAUGUAUAGGGGCUGACGCCUGCCCGGUGCUGGAAGGUUAAGAGGAGUGGUUAGCUUCUGCGAAGCUACGAAUCGAAGCCCCAGUAAACGGCGGCCGUAACUAUAACGGUCCUAAGGUAGCGAAAUUCCUUGUCGGGUAAGUUCCGACCCGCACGAAAGGCGUAACGAUUUGGGCACUGUCUCAACGAGAGACUCGGUGAAAUCAUAGUACCUGUGAAGAUGCAGGUUACCCGCGACAGGACGGAAAGACCCCGUGGAGCUUUACUGUAGCCUGAUAUUGAAAUUCGGCACAGCUUGUACAGGAUAGGUAGGAGCCUUUGAAACGUGAGCGCUAGCUUACGUGGAGGCGCUGGUGGGAUACUACCCUAGCUGUGUUGGCUUUCUAACCCGCACCACUUAUCGUGGUGGGAGACAGUGUCAGGCGGGCAGUUUGACUGGGGCGGUCGCCUCCUAAAAGGUAACGGAGGCGCUCAAAGGUUCCCUCAGAAUGGUUGGAAAUCAUUCAUAGAGUGUAAAGGCAUAAGGGAGCUUGACUGCGAGACCUACAAGUCGAG